ACAAAAAUGUAAUUCCAACCAGGAAUUGCCUCAGUAACGGCGAGUGAAGCGGCCAACAGCUCAAAUUUGAAAUCUGGCGCAAGCCCGAGUGUAAUUUGCAGAGGAUGUUUCGGGUGAAGCCACGGUCCAAGUCCCUUGGAACAGGACGUCAUAGAGGGUGAGAACCCCGUACCUGGCCGUCGGUACCCCCCGCUGUGAAACUCCUUCGACGAGUCGAGUUGUUUGGGAAUGCAGCUCUAAAUUGGUGGUAAAUUCCAUCUAAAGCUAAAUACCGGCCAGAGACCGAUAGCGCACAAGUAGAGUGAUCGAAAGAUGAAAAGCACUUUGAAAAGAGAGUUAAAAAGUACGUGAAAUUGUUGAAAGGGAAGCGCUUGCGGCCAGACUUGCCCGCGGUUGCUCAGCCCGCCUUUUGGCGGGUGCACUCUUCCGCGGUCAGGCCAGCAUCGGUUUGGGCGGCCGGAUAAAGGCGUCGGGAACGUGGCCUCCCCUCGGGGAGGUGUUAUAGCCCGGCGCGCAAUGCGGCCAGCCCGGACCGAGGUUCGCGCUUUGCUAGGAUGCUGGCGUAAUGGCCGUAAGCGGCCCGUCUUGAAACACGGACCAAGGAGUCUAACAUCUAUGCGAGUGUUUGGGUGUCAAACCCGUGCGCGUAAUGAAAGUGAACGGAGGUGGGAACCGCAAGGUGCACCAUCGACCGAUCCUGAUGUCUUCGGAAGGAUUUGAGUAAGAGCAUAGCUGUUGGGACCCGAAAGAUGGUGAACUAUGCGUGAAUAGGGUGAAGCCAGAGGAAACUCUGGUGGAGGCUCGCAGCGGUUCUGACGUGCAAAUCGAUCGUCAAAUUUGCGUAUAGGGGGCGAAAGACUAAUCGAACCAUUUGCAAACAGCAAUACUAGAUGGUCAAAGGGCGGAGAGCCUUAGUCCCCACGGGGGCCACACUGCCAAACUGCGGGGGAAACGCCCACAGCCGGACGCAACCGCCCCCCCCCGCCGCGAGGUGGGAGGGGCACCCCGUUUACUCGGGGGCAUGGUAACAGCGCGCCCGGCGGGUCGAUCCGCAGCCGUCCCCCGAUCCGUCCGGGGGGUGGUUCACAGACUAGACGGCGGUUGGGCGCGGCGAGCGCUUAAGAUAAUAAGUCGAUCCAGCCCCUCAAGGGCCG
Molecule: ribosomal RNA, 1154 nt
Filed under: Venturia inaequalis
Lineage: Eukaryota; Fungi; Ascomycota; Dothideomycetes; Venturiales; Venturiaceae
Description: LSU rRNA
Rfam family: Eukaryotic large subunit ribosomal RNA
Source: RNAcentral